AAAGAUGGGUCAGUCCGUUCCGAUCCGAACGGGACGGGUCAUUUGAUCCGCUUUUAAAUGGGUUGUUAAAAAUAUAAAUCCAAUCUGCUCCAUUUACAUAACGGGGCAGGCCAAUCUGACGGGUCCAACCCAAAUUGGCGGUUCUAUUUAAAAAGAAUGAUCGCAUACUGUGCAUAUAUUGAGCUAUUGAUAAAUACAUUGUUUUGGGUGAAAUCUGUAAACUCUAAACACAAUCUAUAAAGUAAACAACUCCUUGAGGAAGUCAGACUCAAGUAGGAAAUUCAGCUAGCACCAUCAUAUGCCGCCAGCUACGGUUUACAGAAGUAGGGCAGUAUGUCUUGACCAAGGUACAGGGCCGAUCUUGACAUUUUUUAGAUCUAGGACUAAAUGAAAAAAUGGGAUCUUCUCUAUUAAAAAUUAAUAUACUUUAAAUAUUAAUUAUCAUUAAAAAAUUAAUCUACGUGCAAUAAUUUUUUAUAGAUAUAUUCAUUAAGUAGUGUAUAAAAUUCAUCAUUAAUUUAUUUAAUUAUUUUUUUUGUUAUAAUAUUGUAGAAAGUCAUCCUUGCACCCUAUUGAAACAUCAAUAUAAGGUCUAGGCCUGGGGCCUGGGGCGGUCGCCCAAUUUGACCUGCCCCAGGCCGGCCCUGCCAAGGCAGGUGGCAAUUUGUUUGUCAAUUGCAUGUCGCAACAGAUGGAAUUGUUAGAUGCAACGCAAUUCAAAGCAAAUGGUGAUUGUUUAGAAAAUAUGUAAAUGCUCCGGAUCUGGGAUCAUCCAUUGACCACUGUGAGCCACUUUUAUUAAGGUGACGUGAACAACUUUUACAUACCGAUCUGUGUAAUUCAGAACUCAUGGACGGAGCUGACUUUUAACUUGCAUAAAUUAUUAGAGAAAAUAAGAAAGCAACAAUACACUGCAGAGCAUUCCGGGUUCUUGAAAAGAAUGAUUCCAUGCAUGACCAUAUACCGAGCUGCAGAUAAAUACAUUGCUUUGGGUGAAAUCUGUUAACUCUUAACAAAAUCUAUGAAGUAAACUAGUCCUUGAGAGAAUCGGACUUAUGUGGGUGAUUAAGCUAGCGCCACUGUAUGCCACCAGCCACAGGAUGCAUAGGUAGGGUAGUGUCUCUCGACUGGAACUGGUGACGGUAUGCUUCUGUCAAUUGCAUCUCCCAAGCCAAGCUG
This 1179-nucleotide long non-coding RNA is filed under the name Elaeis guineensis (African oil palm). Its description in RNAcentral is "long non-coding RNA (EGUI_LNC011506)". The record is from RNAcentral. Lineage: Eukaryota; Viridiplantae; Streptophyta; Magnoliopsida; Arecales; Arecaceae.